ACUUAAGUGUUAAUAGCUAAUAAUAGAGCAAGCUUGAUUACUACCUUGGUGUCCUAAAACGGAUGUUGGCCUGCCAGGGAGCAGCCAAGGUGAAGUUUUCAACCAGGCCGACCAACUUCAGAGUCCACUGGCUUCAAAACAGUGCUUUACAUCCUCCUUCCAACAUUAUUCACAAGCCGAUCAAGACUGAGAGAGUCACAAGUGUGUGAAACCUGUAUUCUUUCUGACUUCAUUUUCCCUGGUCGAAAUUUUUGUAGAAUAGACAAAUCAAGAAUGAUGACUUCUUAAGAUGCAGUAUUCAAGUUCAGAAAUCUAUACUCAGAUGACCUUAUGUAGGUCAUCUGCUUCUGAGGUUUAUCUCACCAGUGUUUUAUGUGAAGAACUGCAGUAAUGAAUUCUGAAUUUGUUCAAAUCAUUGAAGAUGUGUGAAGACAAAACAUUCACUCAAAUCUCUAUCAUGUUAGCAUGUUAUUUAUCAUUGCUCUGUUCUUCAUUGUUGAAUAAUGCAAUUGAGUUAAAAAGAAUAAACAUUAUUUACCG
RNAcentral lists this long non-coding RNA (540 nucleotides) under Homo sapiens (human). RNAcentral describes it as "HSALNT0375932". The record is from RNAcentral. Lineage: Eukaryota; Metazoa; Chordata; Mammalia; Primates; Hominidae.